GCGCAGCCUGAUCCAGCAAUGCCGCGUGUGUGAAGAAGGCCUUCGGGUUGUAAAGCACUUUUGUCCGGAAAGAAAACCUUUGCCCUAAUACGGUGGGGGGAUGACGGUACCGGAAGAAUAAGCACCGGCUAACUACGUGCCAGCAGCCGCGGUAAUACGUAGGGUGCAAGCGUUAAUCGGAAUUACUGGGCGUAAAGCGUGCGCAGGCGGUUCGCUAAGACAGAUGUGAAAUCCCCGGGCUCAACCUGGGAACUGCAUUUGUGACUGGCAGGCUAGAGUAUGGCAGAGGGGGGUAGAAUUCCACGUGUAGCAGUGAAAUGCGUAGAGAUGUGGAGGAAUACCGAUGGCGAAGGCAGCCCCCUGGGCCAAUACUGACGCUCAUGCACGAAAGCGUGGGGAGCAAACA
This 406-nucleotide ribosomal RNA is filed under the name Burkholderia sp. NC28. Its description in RNAcentral is "bacterial SSU rRNA". It matches the Rfam family "Bacterial small subunit ribosomal RNA", at positions 375 to 774 of the family's 1533-position model. The record is from RNAcentral. Lineage: Bacteria; Pseudomonadati; Pseudomonadota; Betaproteobacteria; Burkholderiales; Burkholderiaceae. RNAcentral also lists the same sequence under 8 other names.